CGGGUAAGUUCCGACCUGCACGAAAGGCGCAACGACUUGGGCGCUGUCUCGACCAUGGACCCGGUGAAAUUGCACUGGUCGUGAAGAUGCGACUUACCCGCGGAAGGACGGAAAGACCCCGUGAACCUUCACUGCAGCUUGGCAUUGGCCGCUGGUCCCGCGUGUAGAGGAUAGGCAGGAGGCAUCGAUCCGGAGGCGCCAGCCCCCGGGGAGCCGCCCUUGGAAUACUGCCCUCGCGCGACCGGCGUCCUAACCC
RNAcentral lists this ribosomal RNA (256 nucleotides) under Bicosoecida sp. CB-2014. RNAcentral's name for it is "partial Bacterial large subunit ribosomal RNA". It matches the Rfam family "Bacterial large subunit ribosomal RNA", at positions 1973 to 2228 of the family's 2925-position model. Lineage: Eukaryota; Bigyra; Bicosoecida. The record is from RNAcentral.